RNAcentral lists this transfer RNA (61 nucleotides) under Trigonopterus sp. 8 AH-2016. Its description in RNAcentral is "tRNA-Cys". The record is from RNAcentral. Lineage: Eukaryota; Metazoa; Arthropoda; Insecta; Coleoptera; Curculionidae.
AGUUAUAUAGUCUAAAAAGGAUAUUAAAUUGCAAGUUUAAAGGUAUGAAAUUUUAUAGCUU